CGUAAGGCGCCGAAUGAGUCAUUAAAAAAUUAACAUCAUCCGAUCCCUAGUCGGCAUAGUUUAUGGUUAAGACUACGACGGUAUCUGAUCGUCUUCGAUCCCCUAACUUUCGUUCUUGAUUAAUGAAAACAUCCUUGGCAAAUGCUUUCGCAGUAGUUAGUCUUCAAUAAAUCCAAAGAACUUCACCUCUGACAAUUGAAUACUAAUGCCCCCAAUAUCCCUAUUAAUCAUUACGUCAAUCCUAGAAACCAACAAAAUAGGAUCGAACGUCCUAUUCAUUAUUCCAUGCUAAUGUAUUCAAGCG
Molecule: ribosomal RNA, 304 nt
Filed under: uncultured Glomus
Lineage: Eukaryota; Fungi; Glomeromycota; Glomeromycetes; Glomerales; Glomeraceae
Description: partial 18S ribosomal RNA
Source: RNAcentral